Gossypium arboreum is the source of this 279-nucleotide long non-coding RNA. RefSeq lists it as uncharacterized. The record is from RefSeq and is a predicted model, not a curated record. NCBI's taxonomy places the organism in Eukaryota, Viridiplantae, Streptophyta, Magnoliopsida, Malvales, Malvaceae. The transcript has 2 exons.
GCAAAGGAAAUGACAUCGAGUAGCCGAGUUAGAACCGUUUUACCCAACACAAGGUUCCUUUGAUUCAUUUUUGUGUGCUCGGGACCAUCGUCGAAGUCAUCACACCAGCUUGCAACUUUUUGGUAUCUUCUUCCUAGUUGGUCUAAGAGAACAUUUCGGCAUGUAUAGGCUAUUAUGUUUUGUUUGAACUUUGGUAUGUAAAAUUUUGGAUAGCCAUGCGAAAAUGGCUUAUAUACGUUUUGAGCAUAAUGUUAUAGUCAUCUUGAAUGUAUAUGUUCA